CUGGCCUUGACAUCCCAGGAACCCUGAAGAGAUUCGGGGGUGCCGCAAGGAACCUGGAGACAGGUGCUGCAUGGCUGUCGUCAGCUCGUGUCGUGAGAUGUUGGGUUAAGUCCCGCAACGAGCGCAACCCUUGUCCUUAGUUGCCAUCAUUCAGUUGGGCACUCUAAGGAGACCGCCGGUGACAAACCGGAGGAAGGUGGGGAUGACGUCAAGUCAUCAUGGCCUUUAUGGCCAGGGCUACACACGUGCUACAAUGGCAGAUACAGAGGGAAGCCAACGCGCGAGCGGGAGCCAAUCCCAGAAAAUCUGUCGUAGUCCGGAUUGGAGUCUGCAACUCGACUCCAUGAAGUCGGAAUCGCUAGUAAUGGCGAGUCAGCAACAUCGCCGUGAAUACGUUCCC
Molecule: ribosomal RNA, 400 nt
Filed under: uncultured bacterium
Lineage: Bacteria
Description: bacterial SSU rRNA
Rfam family: Bacterial small subunit ribosomal RNA
Source: RNAcentral